RNAcentral lists this ribosomal RNA (253 nucleotides) under uncultured bacterium. RNAcentral's name for it is "partial 16S ribosomal RNA". It matches the Rfam family "Bacterial small subunit ribosomal RNA", at positions 524 to 776 of the family's 1533-position model. The record is from RNAcentral.
UACGUAGGAGACGAGCGUUGUCCGGAAUUACUGGGCGUAAAGCGCGUGUAGGCGGAUGGGCAAGUCUGCUGUGAAAGCUCCUGGCUUAACCGGGAGUGGUCGGUGGAAACUGCCAAUCUGGAGGACGGUAGAGGUAGGUAGAAUUCCCGGUGUAGUGGUGAAAUGCGUUGAGAUCGGAAGGAACGCCCGUGGCGAAAGCGAGGCCCUGGACCCUUACUGACGCUGAGACGCGAAAGCCAGGGGAGCGAACGGG